RNAcentral lists this ribosomal RNA (383 nucleotides) under uncultured bacterium. RNAcentral's name for it is "bacterial SSU rRNA". It matches the Rfam family "Bacterial small subunit ribosomal RNA", at positions 28 to 407 of the family's 1533-position model. The record is from RNAcentral.
GACGAACGCUGGCGGCGUGCUUAACACAUGCAAGUCACGGGGGCCGGUAGCAAUACCGGUAACCGGCGAACGGGUGCGUAACACGUGAGCAACCUGCCGAUCUGCGGGGGAUAGCCGGCCCAACGGCCGGGUAAUACCGCAUACGUUUCUUGAGGGACAUCCUUUGGGAAAGAAACCUCGGGUAACCCUGGGCAGAUCGAGGGGCUCNCGGCCUAUCAGCUAGUUGGUGAGGUAACGGCUCACCAAGGCGACGACGGGUAGCUGGUCUGAGAGGAUGGCCAGCCACAUUGGGACGUGAGAGACGGCCCAGACUCCUACGGGAGGCAGCAGUGGGGAAUCUUGCGCAAUGGCCGAAAGGCUGACGCAGCGACGCCGCGUGUGGA